CUACGGGAGGCAGCAGUGAGGAAUCUUAGACAAUGGGCGCAAGCCUGAUCUAGCCAUGCCGCGUGUGUGAUGAAGGCCUUAGGGUCGUAAAGCACUUUCGCCAGAGAUGAUAAUGACAGUAUCUGGUAAAGAAACCCCGGCUAACUCCGUGCCAGCAGCCGCGGUAAUACGGAGGGGGUUAGCGUUGUUCGGAAUUACUGGGCGUAAAGCGCACGUAGGCGGACUGGAAAGUUGGGGGUGAAAUCCCAGGGCUCAACCCUGGAACUGCCUCCAAAACUAUCAGUCUAGAGUUCGAGAGAGGUGAGUGGAAUUCCGAGUGUAGAGGUGAAAUUCGUAGAUAUUCGGAGGAACACCAGUGGCGAAGGCGGCUCACUGGCUCGAUACUGACGCUGAGGUGCGAAAGUGUGGGGAGCAAACAGGAUUAGAUACCCUGGUAGUCCACACCGUAAACGAUGAAUGCCAGUCGUCAGCAAGCAUGCUUGUUGGUGACACACCUAACGGAUUAAGCAUUCCGCCUGGGGAGUACGGUCGCAAGAUUAAAACUCAAAGGAAUUGACGG
This 559-nucleotide ribosomal RNA is filed under the name uncultured Paracoccaceae bacterium. RNAcentral's name for it is "bacterial SSU rRNA". It matches the Rfam family "Bacterial small subunit ribosomal RNA", at positions 339 to 916 of the family's 1533-position model. The record is from RNAcentral. Lineage: Bacteria; Pseudomonadati; Pseudomonadota; Alphaproteobacteria; Rhodobacterales; Paracoccaceae.